CUUUGUGAUGAGCAUCUGGUGGGUGUGAAGGUUUAGAGUCCUCUGAUGGGCCUGCCCAGCUUCUGAGGAUAGCCAAGCUGCCAGCUGCACUGCACAGAGGGGUAUUUAUGUUUUCCUCUGGCAACACAGAUGAGCUGGUCAUGAAACACCUACAGAUGACAUCCUGAAACUGUCUAGCCUUGAAAAUGGCUGUAAACUCCAUACCUUGACGAUUUUCAGUGCCGCUUUCCAGAACAUUCAAGGAAAAUAAAACGCUUCCUUUUGGUGGGCAGAAGUGCUGAUACAGAAGAGUUUUUCAAGCCCAGACUCCACUCCUUUUAUUUCUCCUCCUCAUGUAUCGGUCCCAUUUUCCUUCUCUGAUUUUUCCUCG
RNAcentral lists this long non-coding RNA (370 nucleotides) under Gallus gallus (chicken). RNAcentral describes it as "lncRNA (ENSGALG00010018921.1)". The record is from RNAcentral. Lineage: Eukaryota; Metazoa; Chordata; Aves; Galliformes; Phasianidae.